Rattus norvegicus (Norway rat) is the source of this 5949-nucleotide RNA transcript. It is a transcript of the gene named synaptic Ras GTPase activating protein 1, with no coding region annotated. The record is from RefSeq and is marked validated. Lineage: Eukaryota; Metazoa; Chordata; Mammalia; Rodentia; Muridae. The transcript is spliced from 20 exons.
CUUUCUCUCCCCCUCUUUCUCUCUUCUUUUUCUUCCCCGUCCCCCCCGCCCCCUCCCCCUCAGGCCUGAUGAGCAGGUCUCGAGCCUCCAUCCAUCGGGGGAGCAUCCCCGCGAUGUCCUAUGCCCCCUUCAGAGAUGUACGGGGACCCCCUAUGCACCGAACCCAAUACGUUCAUUCCCCGUAUGACCGUCCCGGUUGGAACCCCCGGUUCUGCAUCAUCUCUGGGAACCAGCUGCUCAUGCUGGAUGAGGAUGAGAUACACCCCCUUCUGAUCCGCGACCGGAGGAGCGAGUCCAGCCGAAACAAACUGCUGAGACGCACCGUCUCUGUGCCAGUGGAGGGGCGGCCCCACGGCGAGCAUGAAUACCACUUGGGUCGCUCGAGGAGGAAGAGUGUCCCCGGGGGGAAACAGUACAGCAUGGAAGCCGCCCCCGCUGCGCCCUUCCGGCCCUCGCAAGGCUUCCUGAGCCGGAGGCUAAAAAGCUCCAUCAAACGUACAAAGUCACAACCCAAACUUGACCGGACCAGCAGCUUUCGACAGAUCCUGCCUCGCUUCCGAAGUGCUGACCAUGACCGGGCCCGGCUGAUGCAGAGCUUCAAGGAGUCUCACUCCCAUGAGUCCCUGCUGAGUCCCAGCAGUGCUGCUGAGGCCCUGGAGCUCAACCUGGAUGAAGACUCCAUUAUCAAGCCAGUACACAGCUCCAUCCUGGGCCAGGAGUUCUGCUUUGAGGUAACAACAUCGUCUGGGACAAAAUGUUUUGCCUGUCGGUCUGCAGCCGAAAGGGACAAAUGGAUUGAGAAUCUACAGAGGGCUGUGAAACCCAACAAGGACAACAGCCGCCGGGUAGAUAACGUGCUGAAACUAUGGAUCAUAGAAGCUCGAGAGCUGCCCCCCAAGAAGCGAUAUUACUGCGAGUUAUGCCUGGACGACAUGCUCUAUGCACGGACCACUUCCAAGCCCCGCUCAGCCUCAGGAGACACUGUCUUUUGGGGCGAGCACUUCGAGUUUAACAACCUGCCUGCUGUCCGGGCGCUGCGGCUGCAUCUGUACCGUGACUCGGACAAAAAGCGGAAGAAGGACAAGGCAGGCUACGUUGGCCUGGUGACUGUUCCAGUGGCCACCCUGGCUGGGCGCCACUUCACAGAGCAGUGGUACCCCGUGACCCUGCCAACAGGAAGUGGGGGCUCUGGGGGUAUGGGCUCGGGGGGAGGAGGGGGGUCAGGGGGCGGCUCAGGGGGCAAAGGGAAAGGAGGCUGUCCUGCUGUGCGGCUGAAGGCCCGUUACCAGACAAUGAGUAUCCUGCCCAUGGAGCUAUAUAAGGAGUUUGCAGAAUAUGUGACCAACCACUACCGCAUGCUGUGUGCCGUGCUGGAGCCCGCCCUCAAUGUCAAGGGCAAGGAGGAGGUCGCUAGUGCACUGGUUCACAUCCUGCAAAGCACAGGCAAGGCCAAGGACUUCCUUUCAGACAUGGCCAUGUCAGAGGUAGACCGGUUCAUGGAGCGGGAACACCUCAUAUUCCGCGAGAACACGCUCGCCACUAAAGCCAUAGAAGAGUAUAUGAGACUGAUUGGCCAGAAAUACCUCAAGGAUGCCAUUGGGGAGUUCAUCCGGGCUCUGUAUGAAUCUGAGGAGAACUGUGAAGUAGACCCCAUCAAGUGCACAGCGUCCAGUCUGGCAGAGCACCAGGCCAACCUGCGGAUGUGCUGUGAGUUGGCCCUGUGCAAGGUGGUCAACUCCCAUUGCGUGUUCCCGGGGGAGCUGAAGGAGGUGUUUGCAUCAUGGCGGCUGCGCUGUGCAGAGCGGGGCCGGGAGGACAUUGCUGACAGGCUGAUCAGCGCCUCGCUCUUCCUGCGCUUCCUCUGCCCGGCCAUCAUGUCGCCCAGUCUGUUUGGACUGAUGCAGGAGUACCCAGAUGAGCAGACCUCACGAACCCUCACCCUCAUCGCCAAGGUUAUCCAGAACCUGGCCAACUUUUCCAAGUUUACCUCAAAGGAGGACUUCCUGGGCUUCAUGAACGAGUUUCUGGAGCUGGAGUGGGGUUCUAUGCAGCAAUUCUUGUAUGAGAUAUCCAACCUGGACACACUGACCAACAGCAGCAGUUUUGAGGGCUACAUAGACUUGGGCCGCGAGCUCUCCACACUUCACGCCCUGCUCUGGGAGGUGCUGCCCCAGCUCAGCAAGGAAGCCCUCCUGAAGCUGGGCCCGCUGCCCCGGCUCCUCAGCGACAUCAGCACAGCCCUGAGGAACCCUAACAUCCAAAGGCAGCCGAGCCGCCAGAGCGAGCGCGCUCGGUCUCAGCCCAUGGUGCUGCGCGGGCCGUCAGCCGAGAUGCAGGGCUACAUGAUGCGGGACCUCAACAGCUCCAUCGACCUUCAGUCCUUCAUGGCUCGAGGCCUCAACAGCUCUAUGGACAUGGCUCGCCUCCCCUCCCCAACCAAGGAGAAACCCCCGCCGCCCCCUCCCGGUGGGGGUAAAGACCUGUUCUAUGUGAGCCGGCCACCACUGGCCCGGUCCUCCCCAGCAUACUGCACGAGCAGCUCGGACAUCACAGAGCCGGAGCAGAAGAUGCUGAGUGUCAACAAGAGUGUGUCCAUGCUGGACCUGCAGGGCGACGGGCCUGGGGGCCGCCUUAACAGCAGUAGUGUUUCCAACCUGGCAGCUGUUGGGGACCUGUUGCACUCAAGCCAGGCUUCACUGACAGCAGCCUUGGGGUUGCGGCCUGCACCUGCCGGGCGCCUCUCCCAAGGGAGUGGCUCUUCCAUCACAGCAGCCGGCAUGCGCCUCAGCCAGAUGGGUGUCACUACGGAUGGUGUCCCCGCCCAGCAACUGCGCAUCCCUCUUUCCUUCCAGAACCCUCUCUUCCAUAUGGCUGCCGAUGGACCAGGGCCCCCAGCAGGCCAUGGAGGGAGCAGUGGCCAUGGUCCACCUUCCUCCCAUCACCACCACCACCACCAUCACCAUCACCGAGGGGGAGAACCCCCAGGGGACACUUUUGCCCCGUUCCAUGGCUAUAGCAAGAGCGAGGACCUCUCUACAGGGGUCCCUAAGCCCCCUGCGGCCUCCAUCCUUCACAGCCACAGCUACAGUGAUGAGUUUGGACCCUCUGGUACUGAUUUUACCCGUCGGCAGCUCUCACUUCAGGACAACCUACAGCACAUGCUCUCCCCGCCCCAGAUCACCAUCGGUCCCCAGAGGCCAGCUCCCUCAGGGCCAGGAGGGGGCAGUGGUGGGGGCAGUGGUGGGGGCGGUGGGGGCCAGCCACCUCCCUUGCAGAGGGGCAAAUCUCAGCAGUUGACAGUGAGUGCUGCCCAGAAACCCCGGCCGUCCAGCGGGAACCUAUUGCAGUCCCCGGAACCAAGUUAUGGUCCUGCCCGUCCACGGCAACAGAGCCUCAGCAAAGAGGGCAGCAUUGGGGGCAGCGGGGGCAGCGGUGGCGGAGGGGGUGGGGGGCUCAAGCCCUCCAUCACCAAGCAGCAUUCCCAGACUCCAUCCACGCUGAACCCCACGAUGCCGGCCUCGGAGCGGACUGUAGCCUGGGUGUCCAAUAUGCCUCACCUGUCCGCUGACAUCGAGAGUGCACACAUUGAGCGGGAAGAGUACAAGCUGAAGGAGUACUCGAAGUCCAUGGACGAGAGCCGACUGGACAGGGUGAAGGAGUACGAGGAGGAGAUCCACUCACUGAAGGAAAGGCUACACAUGUCCAACCGGAAGCUGGAAGAGUACGAGCGGAGGCUGCUGUCCCAGGAAGAGCAGACCAGCAAGAUCCUGAUGCAGUACCAAGCCCGCCUGGAGCAGAGCGAGAAGCGCUUGAGGCAGCAGCAGGUGGAGAAGGACUCCCAGAUCAAGAGCAUCAUUGGCAGGCUGAUGCUGGUGGAGGAGGAGCUGCGCCGGGACCACCCCGCCAUGGCUGAGCCGCUGCCUGAACCCAAGAAGAGGCUGCUCGACGCUCAGCUCCUCAUCAGGUAAUUCUCCUGGUUCCGCUUUGACCACGGGCGGAGGACACUGGGGGAGGUGACUCCGGACCACUGCAGGAGAGGCAGCUUCCCCCCUUGGGUCCAACAAACCCGCGUGUGACGCUGGCCCCACCUUGGAACGGCCUGGCCCCCCCAGCCCCACCCCCCCCACCCCGGCUGCAGAUCACAGAGAACGGCGAGUUCCGGAACACCGCAGACCACUAGCCCACCCAGCAUCACAGACCUCCUUCCCUGUGCACCCUACCCCGGCCCACCCAGCGUCACAGACCUCCUUCCCAGUGCACCCGACCCUGGAACAUCACCAACCACCAGGACUGGACGUCACCAAGGGACAGCGGGAUUGUCUCCCUUAACGCCUCCUUGGGGCACCCAUCUGUCAACCCCACUGCUCCAUUCCAGGAGGGAGAGUGGGACCCUCAGCUGCCCUCUCACCCCAGGACACCACCUACCCCACACAGACCCCUUCACUCUGGGGUGCUAUCCCCAUCCUCUGCCUCACAGUUCCCCUGAGCACUGGGGGACAGACCCUCACCCCCACACUGGGGGUGUGGCACCUCCAAACUUUCAACUUCAGGGUGAUUUUUUUAGCAGUAACCAGAGCUGACAAUCUAUAACCCCCCUCUACCACCCCAUUUUGGCCUCCCCUGCCCCCCUUGUUAUGGGGAGGGGACCCCGGGUGAGGGGGCCCUAUUACCCCUUGAUUUCUCAGGAGCGUCUGGGGGGGCUCAGCACGCACAACUCCUUCUCCUCUUUCCACUCUUACAUUAACUCUCCCCACCCAGAACCCAGAUGGGGUGGAGGGGGCCACCGGGGCAGGGAGGGGGCGGCAAGGGGGGAAUGGGAGUUGCCUCCCCUUCUUCCCACACCUGAUCUGCUCUUGGCUGGUCCCAGAGCGGGGUGAGGGGGCUUAUGCCCCCCCCUCCCCCAGUGUGUUGGGUGGGGUGGAAUUGAGGUUCGGAUGAGGGGGUUAGGGUUUAGGAGGCCAUGUGUGUUGGGUCGUAGAGGACAGAUUAGCUGAUCUGCCCUACUCCGACACACAGCCAGUCCUCUACCCCUUCCCUCUCUUGUCUCUACUCCCAUGGGGAGGGGGGAACUUACUCUAGGAAAAGCCAUGUCUCUCUCCCCCAGGAUGGGGGGACCUGUGUUGGAGGAUGGGUGUUUGGGGGCCCCCUUACAUGACUCUGUCCCCUGGGGGAGGUAGGACAGGGCUGGGCUUCCCUCUCACCCUCCCCCUCACCCAGUCUCCCUCCCUCCCGCCAGCUCCACGCUUUUUCGGUGUUUUCUGUACAUAGCUCUCUGGCGGAACAGGGGAGGUAGGAUGGAUGGGGUCUGGGUGGGUAAACCAUGAAGGGGAGAAACCCCUCCUGGGUACCCCUCUUCUCUGACUGCUGCCCUCUACCCAGCCUUGUCUCUUCACCCCUUCUUGCGUUUGGUAUUGAGAAUUCUUCCCAGACUCCAGACUCGACCUUUCUUUUGUAUGAACAGCUCUCCUUCAAACUUACCCCUCUACAUACACCCACCCAGCCGGGGCCAAAUUUAUACUUAUAUAAAAGUUGUAAAUAUGUGAAAUUUUAUCCCAUUCCCUCUCCUCUGCUUCCCUACAUCAGGCCUUACCCUUGGACCUCCUCCCUCCUCUUUGGCUGUUGUAAUUAUCUGGGGUUUGUACUGUACAUAAUUGGGGUGGGGGGCUGGGAGGCGACCCCUCUGUACAGAGCUUCCUGGCUCCCUAGCCCCACCCCUCAUUUCCUUCCCCACCCACCACCUUAAGAGUAGGGAGAAGAUCUUCUUACUCAUUUUUUUUGCUGUUUGUUUACUCGUUCUCCUUUCUGCUCCUGCUCCCAGACUCUUGGUCCCCACCCCCAUCCCCCCACACCCCCUCUUUUCUCCCACUCCCGGGUCCAUUUCCCUUUUUUUUUCUGGAGUGUGUGGUGAAACAGAAAAAUCAUGUUUAAUAAACGGAGAUUGUUCUUUUA